GGGUGUGAUCAUACCAACACUAAUGCACCGGAUCCCAUCAGAGCUCCGAAGUUAAGCGUGCUUGGGCGAGAGUAGUACUAGGAUGGUUGACGUCCUAGUAUUGCAUCUA
Molecule: ribosomal RNA, 109 nt
Filed under: Nelumbo nucifera (sacred lotus)
Lineage: Eukaryota; Viridiplantae; Streptophyta; Magnoliopsida; Proteales; Nelumbonaceae
Source: RNAcentral